Molecule: ribosomal RNA, 536 nt
Filed under: Trichoderma asperellum
Lineage: Eukaryota; Fungi; Ascomycota; Sordariomycetes; Hypocreales; Hypocreaceae
Description: eukaryotic LSU rRNA
Rfam family: 5.8S ribosomal RNA (bases 159-312)
Source: RNAcentral
UGUGGACGUUACCAAACUGUUGCCUCGGCGGGGUCACGCCCCGGGUGCGUCGCAGCCCCGGAACCAGGCGCCCGCCGGAGGAACCAACCAAACUCUUUCUGUAGUCCCCUCGCGGACGUAUUUCUUACAGCUCUGAGCAAAAAUUCAAAAUGAAUCAAAACUUUCAACAACGGAUCUCUUGGUUCUGGCAUCGAUGAAGAACGCAGCGAAAUGCGAUAAGUAAUGUGAAUUGCAGAAUUCAGUGAAUCAUCGAAUCUUUGAACGCACAUUGCGCCCGCCAGUAUUCUGGCGGGCAUGCCUGUCCGAGCGUCAUUUCAACCCUCGAACCCCUCCGGGGGAUCGGCGUUGGGGAUCGGGACCCCUCACACGGGUGCCGGCCCCGAAAUACAGUGGCGGUCUCGCCGCAGCCUCUCCUGCGCAGUAGUUUGCACAACUCGCACCGGGAGCGCGGCGCGUCCACGUCCGUAAAACACCCAACUUUCUGAAAUGUUGACCUCGGAUCAGGUAGGAAUACCCGCUGAACUUAAGCAUAUCAA